RNAcentral lists this ribosomal RNA (856 nucleotides) under uncultured bacterium. RNAcentral's name for it is "SSU rRNA". It matches the Rfam family "Bacterial small subunit ribosomal RNA", at positions 524 to 1381 of the family's 1533-position model. The record is from RNAcentral.
UACGAAGGGACCUAGCGUAGUUCGGAAUUACUGGGCUUAAAGAGUUCGUAGGUGGUUGAAAAAGUUAGUGGUGAAAUCCCAGAGCUUAACUCUGGAACUGCCAUUAAAACUUUUCAGCUAGAGUAUGAUAGAGGAAAGCAGAAUUUCUAGUGUAGAGGUGAAAUUCGUAGAUAUUAGAAAGAAUACCAAUUGCGAAGGCAGCUUUCUGGAUCAUUACUGACACUGAGGAACGAAAGCAUGGGUAGCGAAGAGGAUUAGAUACCCUCGUAGUCCAUGCCGUAAACGAUGUGUGUUAGACGUUGGAAAUUUAUUUUCAGUGUCGCAGCGAAAGCGAUAAACACACCGCCUGGGGAGUACGACCGCAAGGUUAAAACUCAAAUGAAUUGACGGGGACCCGCACAAGUAGUGGAGCAUGUGGUUUAAUUCGAAGAUACGCGCAGAACCUUACCAACACUUGACAUGUUCGUCGCGACUCUAAGAGAUUAGAGUUUUCGGUUCGGCCGGACGAAACACAGGUGCUGCAUGGCUGUCGUCAGCUCGUGUCGUGAGAUGUUGGGUUAAGUCCCGCAACGAGCGCAACCCUCACUUUUAGUUGCCAUCAUUAAGUUGGGCACUCUGAAAGAACUGCCAGUGAUAAGCUGGAGGAAGGUGGGGAUGACGUCAAGUCCUCAUGGCCCUUACGCGUUGGGCUACACACGUGCUACAAUGGUAUCUACAACAGGAAGCAAGACUGCGAGGUCAAGCAAAUCCUUAAAAGAUACCUCAGUUCGGAUUGCACUCUGCAACUCGAGUGCAUGAAGCUGGAAUUACUAGUAAUCGUGGAUCAGCGUGCCACGGUGAAUGCGUUCCCGGGUCU